UUAGACACCUUAUUUAUAUAGGUUAGUUAUUUAGCGACGCACCAUAGAAGACGCAUAUUGAACGGGACUAGUGACGUUUGGGAUAUGUUGGGCUAGAGACCGGAAAAUCAGUUAGCGAUAGAACACUCCAGGGUAACGACGUGUUUAGUGACAGAGACUUCUACUGUGGCCUUUUUAUCAGAAUAAAUACAUGUUGAAUAGUUCAUCAGAGUUGACUACAUCUCUUCACUUGUUAAAAAACAGGUGUUGUUUUAUUCUUGUUUGUAUUGCUGCUCAACUACACGUAAUACACCCGAACAAUUACACCCAAACGAUUGCAGAGUAAUUGGUUGACUUCAAGACAGCCUGAAUAAGCAACAUCACAGUGGCGACCCCGAACCUCGAAGCCGGACCCCUGAUGAAGCCGAACAUCGAACCGGACCUCGAAGCAGAACGUUUACUCAGGUGAGGGUCGUGCACUCGAAGAUAUAAGAUUUCAUCGGAGUACGGCUGAACACAGCAUCAUCGCAGAGUGACUUUGUUCUGGAUCUACAAGCAGUCGUCGCCUGUUUGAUCGCACGUUCAACGAGCCGUUAACUCAGGGUGACCUUCGUCAGGACAGUAAUCAUCGCAACGUCUGGUCUACUUAACCAGUAUAUUAUCAAAGCCUGAUCUUCAUAUGCUGAAUCGACCUACAACCAGAGAAACCGUUCAUUCAUAACGGGUGAGAGAUCGUUAGUGAACCUGUUGGACAUAUUUUUUCUUCGUCGUAGGAGCCACAUCGAGUAUCAAGUUUUACCUCGCCAGUUCGAGAAGGACAGUUUGCCCGCUGUCAGAAGUAUUGUGAGUACUACAAGUUUGGUAGCUAACUAAAUCGAAAUCGCUCUGUCGUCUUACCCUUGGAGAGAUUCUUGUGGAGCAGUUUGCUCAUUGAACCGGUUGCUUGCCACUUUUAUAACGGUCACUGUGUUUAACCUUUGGAAGGUUAGUGAAGUAAUCUUUAUCAGUACUGAACAUUGAUAUAUCUAGUAUUCGUUGGUCUAGACCAUACCUAGACUUGUUAGCAGUGAAGUUGUGGAAACAGCUACAUCCACUUAAUUUCGUUGAAAACCGUUAGUCGUAUAACGGAACGUCGUCGGAGGUGACCUUGGUCUCACCUAGUCUACAUUGGACAGUUUGGUCUAGUGAAGCAGAGUACAACAGCAAACUUCGUCGUACUACCAGAGUAGCAGCAGAAGCAGUGAACUAUUUUAGAGAACCGUUAUUCGUCAGCCCAGAUCAAGUCAUCGUCAAGAAAGUCGUUAUUCGUCAGCCCAGAUCAAGUCAUCGUCAAGAAAGACGUUAUUCGUCAGCCCAGAUCAAGUCAUCGUCAAGAAAUUCGUUAUUCGUCAGUCGUCCAGAUCAAGUUGCCGUCAAGAGACUGUUAUUUGUCAGUAGUCGUCUACACAAGUCAAGUCAUCGCCAGAAGAACCGUUAACCUAUUCGUCAGUAACUGUGUACACAAAGUCGUCGGAACUACACAUACGGUCAUCAACAGUCGCCGAAGGAACUGAAACAUUUUGCUGUGGCAUAUCAAGACAUCUGGAGCAUUACGUGGGAUACUGGUAGCACCGGAGAACAGAGUCAGAACUGGAAGAGAGGCAGUGGAAUUUGUUGUGAUCUAGCAUAUUCGGGAGUCCGAACAAAGGGAUCUUUCUUAUCAAAAGCUAAGUGCCAUUUUUCUUAUUAGUGUAUGUUUAGAUUGCCCUUAGAAAUAGAUUUUGUCUAAAUUUGGUAUGUUAGCCUGAGUAAAAUCAGGUGGUGCUGAAGCCUUAAACCCGUUCGGGGUAAAGACAUAAUUUAGAUGAAAAGCUAUAUUAUACGUUUAGGGUUGUAAAUAUCAGGUGACCGAGCCUCGCUCGGAUGAAUAAUUUGUUAAGGAAGGAUAUAAUACCCGAAGUCAUUUUGAGAAUAUUUUUGUACCAGGUGGCCGAACCUCGCUCGGUUAAAUAAUUUCGGAAGGUUAUAUACCCGAAGUCAUUUUGGGAAUAUUCUUGUAAUUACGAAAAUAAACGAUCGGAUAAAGACUACUAAUCUGAAGAGUUGUUUUAGUGUUCUGUUAGUUCUAAUUGUAGGCCUAAUUGAACAUGUCGAUUAAAUUUAGUAUUUUAAGUCCUCCUACAGUCUAGACAAACUACAGCUCAAGUCCGUCUUAAAGUUUUGCAAUCCAUCUUUUGCGUAAAACUAUUGUAGGCUUACUAUUAUUGGCUUGGAAGAAAGUCAUUGCAGUGUAACUUCUCUACGUUAUAGGGUAAAACAUGCACUUAGUGACAAAGUAAAAUGGCGCAUUUUUCUCAUUAGACUUAAAUCAUUGCAUUAGUUUUUUAAAGAAACGUUUCCGUAGGGCACCUCUGUUACGCCGAAUAAUAUGCUCGUUACCCAUACGGGAUACGUGCCAUGCACAGCCUGACUGUCGGACUAUAAGAAGUUCAUACCGGCUUUUGCCAUCCAUCCAUCCUAGUGGUGCUAUGACCUGCUUUUACACAUCCCUCCAUUCAGAUCUCUCCUGGGCUUUCCGUCAACACGGCCUAACUCCAAGCUUUUUACCGAGGUUUAUAGUUAAAUCAAAAGAGGCUGCAGCGUACGCAAACUCGUUGACCGCUAGAUAGAUAUCACGUUUAGUGUGAGCUAGUAAGGCGUAGAGAAGCUGUGUUAUGACCAUUUCCUUUGUUUUGGUACAGGACAGUAGACACCGAAGCAUGAACACAUGGUAAUAAUUCACCAGCAAAAUAAUAAUAAUAAUAAGGCUUGUCUUCGAGUCCGAAUAUUAAUGAGGAUUGCAGCUGUGACCUACAUAUCUUGCCACAUCCAAGGCAAGCAUAACCAUUGUCCGCGGUGCUCGAUUAAGAUUUUCUUUUAGCGUCUGCGUCUGUCCACGGCAGCAAAUUUUCUUUUGGUCUCAAAUGUGUAUCCGCGGCCUUUGUAUAGAGGGAAAUCUUUAAGUCCGAAAGUUACGCUGGACAGAGCAGUAUCCUGUAUGGGAGACGAAUCUCAGACGAACGCAUGCCAAAGGCAGUCUUUUUUGGUGAGCUAAAAAGGGGGCGACGUAACACCGAAACGCUUAAAACACCAGCUUAUGGCGCAAACUUGACUUAGCUGACAUAGAAGAGAGCACCUGGUUGCAUGCAACCUCAGAACGAGACAGCUGGAGGUCAGCAGCAAAAUAAACAACAAAGUAAAAGGUAUCUACACCGCUCUACACAAUUAAAGUGUAAACAACUUAUUAAGCACUCGUUAUUGUUUGCAAAGAAAUAUUUUAGUGUACUGCGGUAAGCCUAGUGACGUAAGCAGCGUUUUUCCCGUUUACGUCAUGGAAAAUUUUCAUUCAUAAAACAUUCUAGCCAAAACUAAUUUUUCGAUAAUGAGGCAUUUUCAAACCGAUAUAACGGUCGACCUCGAGUUUUCCCGAUGUGGCCAAUGAGUUGAGAAUUUUUUUCUCACUAUUAUGCACAUACCAUGAACUUUUAAAGAAAAUCGUUAGAGCCGUUUUCGAAAUAAAAUUUAUAUAUAUAUAUAAAUAUAAAUAUAUAUACAUACAUACAUACAUACAUACAAGAAUUGCUCGCUUAAGAGUAUAGGAUAUAUAUAUAUAAAUAUAAAUAUAUAUACAUACAUACAUACAUACAUACAAGAAUUGCUCGCUUAAGAGUAUAGGAUUUGUUUUGUUUGUGUAAACGUCAUAUCCGUUGUUGCCUAGUUACUUCGUGACGUUAUCAUUGUGUGCCAUAUUGUCAUAUCCCAACCCAUAGCGAUAGUCUCAUUUAAUUAUUUCAUUUGUUUAUAUUAUUUUAAAUUAUUUAUUUUUAUUAAUUUAAUUAGAUCUGUAUUUUUUUUUCACUUAAUGAUAGAAAGUGCGGGUAGGAUUCUUUUACUGUGAAUCAGACUAAAAUAAUUUUAGUUUGAGCGGUUAAAAUCAAAUAUGAUUUUGCCAUGAGAAUAAUGCCGAAACUGGCUAUGUAGUCAAACACUAUCGUCUGGCUAAAUUUAGAUCUGCAAAUUGUUGUACAUCUCUUUGGUACAAUUUGAUUAUCUAGACUCUAAUUUGAGAAUAUUAUUAAUUGAAAAAUGAAUGAAGGUUAGUGCCAGUGAAGAACAUUAGUGAUGUGUGACGUGCCCAUAAGAUGCCACAUUUUCUUUUAUGAUGAACUGUGUACUAAUGAAGAUGAUUUUGGAAUGUUAUGAACUGUUAUUAACAUUGACAUGAAUAUGAGGAACUGUCAAGAUGAAGAUGUCAAGAUGAAGAUGUCAAGAUUUUAUGUUUGUGGUCUUCCCCUUAAAUUGAAAAUGCCCUUGUAAGACUUGACAGUAGUGGAAAAAUAUUGACAUAUUUUUUUUUCAAGGGGGGGAGGAAUCUGUUAGACACCUUAUUUAUAUAGGUUAGUUAUUUAGCGACGCACCAUAGAAGACGCAUAUUGAACGGGACUAGUGACGUUUGGGAUAUGUUGGGCUAGAGACCGGAAAAUCAGUUAGCGAUAGAACACUCCAGGGUAACGACGUGUUUAGUGACAGAGACUUCUACUGUGGCCUUUUUAUCAGAAUAAAUACAUGUUGAAUAGUU
Long non-coding RNA from Biomphalaria glabrata, 4576 nucleotides. RefSeq lists it as uncharacterized. The record is from RefSeq and is a predicted model, not a curated record. NCBI's taxonomy places the organism in Eukaryota, Metazoa, Mollusca, Gastropoda, Planorbidae. The transcript has 2 exons.